ACUGCCACAAGUGGACGCCAGU
RNAcentral lists this unclassified non-coding RNA (22 nucleotides) under Mus musculus (house mouse). Its description in RNAcentral is "oocyte_clustered_small_RNA6570". Lineage: Eukaryota; Metazoa; Chordata; Mammalia; Rodentia; Muridae. The record is from RNAcentral.